AGUGAACGCUGGCGGCAUGCCUAACACAUGCAAGUCGAACGGCAGCACAGUAAGAGCUUUCUCUUACGGUUGGCGAGUGGUGGAUGGGAGAGGGAUACAUAGGAAUCUACUUUUUCGUGGUGGACAACGUAGUGAAACAUACGCCAAUACCGCAUACGGUCUACGGGGGGAAGCAGGGGAUCUUCGGCCCCUGCGCGAUUGGAUGUGCCGAUGUCGGAUUAGCUAGUUGGCGGGGUAAAGGCCCACCAAGGCGACGAUCAGUAGCUGGUCUGAGAGGAUGAUCAGCCACACUGGAACUGAGACACGGCCCAGACUCCUACGGGAGGCAGCAGUGGGGAAUUUUGGACAAUGGGGGCAACCCUGAUCCAGCAAUGCCGCGUGUGUGAAGAAGGCCUUCGGGUUGUAAAGCACUUUUGUCCGGAAAGAAAACGCGCUGGUUAAUACCUGGCGGGGAUGACGGUACCGGAAGAAUAAGCACCGGCUAACUACGUG
RNAcentral lists this ribosomal RNA (492 nucleotides) under uncultured bacterium. Its description in RNAcentral is "partial 16S ribosomal RNA". It matches the Rfam family "Bacterial small subunit ribosomal RNA", at positions 29 to 507 of the family's 1533-position model. The record is from RNAcentral.